RNAcentral lists this ribosomal RNA (253 nucleotides) under uncultured bacterium. RNAcentral describes it as "partial 16S ribosomal RNA". It matches the Rfam family "Bacterial small subunit ribosomal RNA", at positions 524 to 776 of the family's 1533-position model. The record is from RNAcentral.
UACGUAGGGGGCGAGCGUGGUCCGGAAUUAUUGGGCGUAAAGAGCGUGUAGGCGGUUCGGUAAGUCUGCCGUGAAAACCUGGGGCUCAACCCCGGGCGUGCGGUGGAUACUGCCGGGCUAGAGGGUGGUAGAGGCGAGUGGAAUUCCCGGUGUAGCGGUGAAAUGCGUAGAUAUCUGGAGGAACACCGGUGGCGAAGGCGGCAUCCUGGACCGACACUGACGCUGAGGAGCGAAAGCCAGGGGAGCAAACGGG